UCCCCGGUAGCUCAACGGUAGAGCGUUCGGCUGUUAACCGAAAUGUUGUAGGUUCAAGUCCUACCCGGGGAGCCA
RNAcentral lists this transfer RNA (75 nucleotides) under Actinomycetota bacterium. RNAcentral describes it as "Actinobacteria bacterium (marine sediment metagenome) tRNA-Asn". It matches the Rfam family "tRNA". Rfam says of the family: Transfer RNA (tRNA) molecules are approximately 80 nucleotides in length. Their secondary structure includes four short double-helical elements and three loops (D, anti-codon, and T loops). Lineage: Bacteria; Bacillati; Actinomycetota. The record is from RNAcentral. RNAcentral also lists the same sequence under 1 other name.